GCUGUCCGCUCCGGCCGAGAAUCACUUGCUGGUAUUUUCGCCAUUUCCGCGCCGCUUUUUUUCCUCGACUUACCGUGUGAUCGUUUCGAUAAUGAAAAUUGAUCCCGCGAAAGUCGAUUCUGCGUCGCGUCGUCGUUUCGAUCCUAUCGCACGCAUUUUUUGCAAAACAUUCGCGUGGCAGCGUGGGAGCCUGCGCCUGUCGCUACGGCCGCCAUUUCUGUUUUCCGGGACCGUUUGGAUUUCCCGCAACAGUGAAUCGCGGGAAUUGAUGGCUACGACAGCUGUGAAGACCGGCGGAAGACCAGUAAAGAGAAGGAGAAAAAAAAGGAAAGAGCACACAGGAAAACGUUGUGACAACAGCUGUCAUUGAAAAUGCCACGAGUAGAGAGUCAAAGGAAGCUGCUGAGUAGGUUUCGCGGAUAUUCUUACCAGGUCCAAAGAAUUAUUCUACGAAAAGGCUGCGUGCGACGUGCGUGCGACGUGUGUGCAUUCCGUGCGAAAGCAGUCUCGAUGUCCCGACAGUUACGAGA
This is a long non-coding RNA of Atta colombica, 530 nucleotides long. RefSeq lists it as uncharacterized. The record is from RefSeq and is a predicted model, not a curated record. The transcript is spliced from 3 exons. NCBI's taxonomy places the organism in Eukaryota, Metazoa, Arthropoda, Insecta, Hymenoptera, Formicidae.